Molecule: long non-coding RNA, 429 nt
Organism: Cornus florida
Lineage: Eukaryota; Viridiplantae; Streptophyta; Magnoliopsida; Cornales; Cornaceae
Exons: 2
Source: RefSeq, a predicted model, not a curated record
GUUGUAAGUCGGUGGAGGCCAUUAUAAAUUGAAGGAGUAGUACAUUGAGUGAAUACACAGAAUAGAAGAGAAAAUUAGAGAGAGAGGAAGGGAGUGAGCUGAGAGAAGACAGAGAGUUGUGAGAGACAGUGAAUCGAGAGUUGCAGAAGAGGCCGAAAGUUUGGAGACUUGAUGAUCCAGUGAAAAAUUACUCUUUUUUAGAGUAAGGUUCUCUAUACCUUGAAUGUUUCAGGUACCGAAGAUGAACGGAAAUUGUUAGAUUCGGGCUCAGACUGAAGAGUCGGCAUUACAUGAUUUAUUUUAUUUAUUUGGAUAUUUUUGUAUAUAUUUGAGGAAAUUGAUGUUGUAUAAAAGUGAACAUUUUUUUUUAUGAUUCUGAGUGUAUUUUGAUAUAUUUUGUAUUGAAUAAACUGAGGAUUUUUCUUAGAA